Molecule: transfer RNA, 74 nt
Filed under: Corallina officinalis
Lineage: Eukaryota; Rhodophyta; Florideophyceae; Corallinales; Corallinaceae
Description: tRNA-Pro
Rfam family: tRNA
About the family: Transfer RNA (tRNA) molecules are approximately 80 nucleotides in length. Their secondary structure includes four short double-helical elements and three loops (D, anti-codon, and T loops). Further hydrogen bonds mediate the characteristic L-shaped molecular structure. tRNAs have two regions of fundamental functional importance: the anti-codon, which is responsible for specific mRNA codon recognition, and the 3' end, to which the tRNAs corresponding amino acid is attached (by aminoacyl-tRNA synthetases). tRNAs cope with the degeneracy of the genetic code in two manners: having more than one tRNA (with a specific anti-codon) for a particular amino acid; and 'wobble' base-pairing, i.e. permitting non-standard base-pairing at the 3rd anti-codon position.
Source: RNAcentral
ACGGGAUAUAGCGCAGCUUGGUAGCGUGCCUGCUUUGGGAGCAGGAUGUCGCAGGUUCAAAUCCUGCUAUCCCG